Molecule: ribosomal RNA, 470 nt
Filed under: uncultured bacterium
Lineage: Bacteria
Description: bacterial SSU rRNA
Rfam family: Bacterial small subunit ribosomal RNA
Source: RNAcentral
GAUGAACGCUAGCGGCAGGCUUAACACAUGCAAGUCGAGGGGCAGCGUGGAGCAGCAAUGCUCUGACGGCGACCGGCGGAAGGGUGCGUAACACGUGAGCGACUUGCCCGUCACAGGGGGAUAACCGGCGGAAACGGCGACUAAUACCCCAUACGAUGUGAUGCUGCAUGGCAUUGCAUUGAAAGAUUCAUCGGUGGCGGAUAGGCUCGCGGGACAUUAGCUAGACGGCGGGGCAACGGCCCACCGUGGCGACGAUGUCUAGGGGUUCUGAGAGGAAGGCCCCCCACACUGGGACUGAGACACGGCCCAGACUCCUACGGGAGGCAGCAGUGAGGAAUAUUGGUCAAUGGGCGGAAGCCUGAACCGGCCAUGCCGCGUGAAGGACUAAGGCCCCUACGGGUCGUAAACUUCUUUAGACGCAGAGCAAUAAGGUCCACGCGUGGACCGAUGAGAGUAUGCGUAGAAUAAGC